UACAUAGGUCGCAAACGUUAUCCGGAAUUAUUGGGCGUAAAGGGUGCGUAGAUGGUUCAGUAAGUUACUGGUGGGAAAUCGAGGCCCAACCUCGUGGAAGUUAGUAAUACUAUUGAACUUGAGUGCAGGAGAGGUUAACGGAACUUCAUGUGGAGCGGUAAAAUGCGUAGAUAUAUGAAAGAAUAUCAAUAUAGCGAAGGCAGUUAACUAUUCUGCUACUGACAUUGAGGCAUGAAAGCGUGGGGAGCAAAACGG
Molecule: ribosomal RNA, 255 nt
Filed under: uncultured bacterium
Lineage: Bacteria
Description: partial 16S ribosomal RNA
Rfam family: Bacterial small subunit ribosomal RNA
Source: RNAcentral